GAUGAAGAACGUAGCGAACUGCGAUAAGUAAUGUGAAUUGCAGAAUUCAGUGAAUCUUCGAGUCUUUGAACGCACAUUGCGCCCCCUGGCAUUCCGGGGGGCAUGCCUGUCCGAGCGUCAUUGCUGCCCUUCAAGCCCGGCUUGUGUGUUGGGUCGUCGUCCCCCCCGGGGGACGGGCCCGAAAGGCAGCGGCGGCACCGCGUCCGGUCCUCGAGCGUAUGGGGCUUUGUCACCCGCUCGAUUAGGGCCGGCCGGGCGCCAGCCGGCGUCUCCAACCUUCUAUUUUACCAGGUUGACCUCGGAUCAGGUAGGGAUACCCGCUGAACUUAAGCAUAUCAAUAAGCGGAGGA
RNAcentral lists this unclassified non-coding RNA (350 nucleotides) under soil metagenome. Its description in RNAcentral is "partial contains 5.8S ribosomal RNA, internal transcribed spacer 2, and large subunit ribosomal RNA". The stretch from base 1 to 120 matches the Rfam family "5.8S ribosomal RNA", at positions 35 to 154 of the family's 154-position model. The record is from RNAcentral.